RNAcentral lists this ribosomal RNA (649 nucleotides) under uncultured bacterium. Its description in RNAcentral is "bacterial SSU rRNA". It matches the Rfam family "Bacterial small subunit ribosomal RNA", at positions 43 to 741 of the family's 1533-position model. The record is from RNAcentral.
CAGGCCUAACACAUGCAAGUCGAACGCUAUUUUAUAGAGUGGCGCACGGGUGAGUAACGCGUGGGAAACUGCCCAUCUGUUCGGGACAACGGUUGGAAACGACCGCUAAUACCGGAUACGCCCUACGGGGGAAAGGUCCGCCGCAGAUGGAGGUGCCCGCGUCCGAUUAGCUAGUUGGUGAGGUAAGAGCUCACCAAGGCGACGAUCGGUAGCUGGUCUGAGAGGAUGAUCAGCCACACUGGGACUGAGACACGGCCCAGACUCCUACGGGAGGCAGCAGUGGGGAAUAUUGGACAAUGGGGGCAACCCUGAUCCAGCAAUGCCGCGUGUGUGAUGAAGGCCUUAGGGUUGUAAAGCACUUUCACUGGUGAAGAUGAUGACGGUAACCAGAGAAGAAGCCCCGGCUAACUUCGUGCCAGCAGCCGCGGUAAUACGAAGGGGGCGAGCGUUGUUCGGAAUUACUGGGCGUAAAGGGAGCGCAGGCGGUUCAUUCAGUUAGGCGUGAAAGCCCCGGGCUCAACCUGGGAACUGCGCUUAAUACUGAUGGACUAGAAAUCAGAAGAGGAUAGUGGAAUUCCCAGUGUAGAGGUGAAAUUCGUAGAUAUUGGGAAGAACACCGGUGGCGAAGGCGGCUAUCUGGUCUGAAUUU